UAGGGAAUCUUCGGCAAUGGACGAAAGUCUGACCGAGCAACGCCGCGUGAGUGAAGAAGGUUUUCGGAUCGUAAAACUCUGUUGGUAGAGAAGAACGUUGGUGAGAGUGGAAAGCUCAUCAAGUGACGGUAACUACCCAGAAAGGGACGGCUAACUACGUGCCAGCAGCCGCGGUAAUACGUAGGUCCCGAGCGUUGUCCGGAUUUAUUGGGCGUAAAGCGAGCGCAGGUGGUUUAUUAAGUCUGGUGUAAAAGGCAGUGGCUCAACCAUUGUAUGCAUUGGAAACUGGUAGACUUGAGUGCAGGAGAGGAGAGUGGAAUUCCAUGUGUAGCGGUGAAAUGCGUAGAUAUAUGGAGGAACACCGGUGGCGAAAGCGGCUCUCUGGCCUGUAACUGACACUGAGGCUCGAAAGCGUGGGGAGCAAACAGGAUUAGAUACCCUGGUAGUCCACGCCGUAAACGAUGAGUGCUAGAUGUAGGGAGCUAUAAGUUCUCUGUAUCGCAGCUAACGCAAUAAGCACUCCGCCUGGGGAGUAC
Molecule: ribosomal RNA, 536 nt
Filed under: uncultured bacterium
Lineage: Bacteria
Description: partial 16S ribosomal RNA
Rfam family: Bacterial small subunit ribosomal RNA
Source: RNAcentral